Molecule: ribosomal RNA, 783 nt
Filed under: Lederbergia galactosidilytica
Lineage: Bacteria; Bacillati; Bacillota; Bacilli; Caryophanales; Bacillaceae
Description: bacterial SSU rRNA
Rfam family: Bacterial small subunit ribosomal RNA
Source: RNAcentral
GCAAGUCGAGCGAAUUUGAUGGGAGCUUGCUCCCUGAAAAUUAGCGGCGGACGGGUGAGUAACACGUGGGCAACCUACCUGUAAGCCUGGGAUAACUUCGGGAAACCGGAGCUAAUACCGGAUAAUUUCUUUCUUCACAUGGAGAGAGGUUGAAAGACGGCUUUGCUGUCACUUACAGAUGGGCCCGCGGCGCAUUAGCUAGUUGGUGAGGUAACGGCUCACCAAGGCCACGAUGCGUAGCCGACCUGAGAGGGUGAUCGGCCACACUGGGACUGAGACACGGCCCAGACUCCUACGGGAGGCAGCAGUAGGGAAUCUUCCGCAAUGGACGAAAGUCUGACGGAGCAACGCCGCGUGAGUGAAGAAGGUCUUCGGAUCGUAAAACUCUGUUAUCAGGGAAGAACAAGUACCGGAGUUACUGCCGGUACCUUGACGGUACCUGACCAGAAAGCCACGGCUAACUACGUGCCAGCAGCCGCGGUAAUACGUAGGUGGCAAGCGUUGUCCGGAAUUAUUGGGCGUAAAGCGCGCGCAGGCGGUUCUUUAAGUCUGAUGUGAAAUCUUGCGGCUCAACCGUGAGCGGUCAUUGGAAACUGGAGAACUUGAGUGCAGAAGAGAAGAGCGGAAUUCCACGUGUAGCGGUGAAAUGCGUAGAGAUGUGGAGGAACACCAGUGGCGAAGGCGGCUCUUUGGUCUGUAACUGACGCUGAGGCGCGAAAGCGUGGGGAGCGAACAGGAUUAGAUACCCUGGUAGUCCACGCCGUAAACGAUGAGUGCUAAGUG